Long non-coding RNA from Pecten maximus, 3127 nucleotides. RefSeq lists it as uncharacterized. The record is from RefSeq and is a predicted model, not a curated record. The transcript has 5 exons. NCBI's taxonomy places the organism in Eukaryota, Metazoa, Mollusca, Bivalvia, Pectinida, Pectinidae.
UGUCAAUUGUACAUGUGUAUAUAUACGGUCAGCGAGUGAAAUGAUUGGUUGAGAGUGUCACUUUGACACUGCAUGACCCCGCGCAUACCCGUGCACGUGCAAAGCCUUGCUGGACCCUGUCCAUGCAGGUAAGCCAAACCACACCACGCUAUAAGACCAGCAAGGAUAGACGUCCCGUAAAAACCUGUGUGCCUUACAGCCACAGUGUUAAAAAGGUUGCUGUCACCGUUCUGUUGGUACUGUUUUUUUAAACGUCGUAUAUAUAAUAAAAUGUUUUUAACGUCGUAUAUACAUGUAUAAUAAAAUGUUUUCGUAAAGAUAACCGUCUUGGAGCCUUUAUUAACAGCACUUUGAAUCAUAAACCCACACAUUGAAGCUUCGUUAUACAAAGAAAUGUCGUAUAGUCUCGUGACAUGUAUACAAUAUACAAUACAACACAAUUACAAUUGCACAAGAAAUACUUUAAACUUAGAUCUUUUAUUUUUAUCCGACAGGAAUAUGUACAGUGAUCUAGUUUGGAAUGUAUAAUUGUAGAAUUCGACAUACCGAGUCAUAGAUAAAAAAUUAAAGGUACUCGUCGCCAAUACCUUGAAACACAAGGGGCAAAUUCUUUCAUUAUGUGAUAUACUAGCCCAAAUUCCCGUUUGUAGAUCCAACCAAUCAUACGAAUGACAAAUAGACCCAUAUCUACUACGUGAUUACUAUACAUUGACACGCGUGUCUUGUACUUCAUAGGACCGAUUAAAAUCAUUAAAUGGAGGUACUGAGAUCUCUCUGGAUCUCCUGUCUUCCUCCGAUGGGUGAAAUAUAAAAAAAAUCAGGCCAGAAUGAUCUAGGUUUGGUAUAUGAUCAUGACACACGCAUUACCUCAACUGACUCAACUGAGGGCUAUUUGAAAAUAAACUCUUUGAUAAAGUGUUGGAUAAGCCUAACAUCAAUCAGAUUAUCAAUAUACAUUGCAUUGCUAUCAGAAAAUAAAUCGCAUUUCAAAACUGAAAUCUCUGAAUUUGCUCCGACUGGCGAAGCAAUGUCGAAGUGUUUGAAAUAGAAUGCCAUAUUCAGUCACAGACAUGGGCGUUCAAAACAUCUGUGGGGUCCGUGCGCUGUAUUGAAAGUUGGACAAGUAUCAUCCAGGAGCGAUAUAGAAACUUGUUCUUACCAGACUUCGUUUUCAUUCACUUCCGUGGCUUACUGUGCCAGCCCCGGGGUGGGGGUUGUACACGGUGACUACAAUAUACGUGAUCUAAAUAUAUAGAUCUAAACAUUUGUUUGAAGUCAGAGUUACAAAGCAUACGUUUUGGGUAACGGUGCUAAACCCAAUACUGAUAUGUUGUCGCCGACGACGGAAAAGUGACGUCAAAGUCUUUUUUGUGACAUUAAAAAACUUAAACCUGUAUACCGAAUAGCAACGACAAAUGGAUGAAUUGGUGAAAUUGAUGAAAUAUAGAAUACAAAUAAUAUACAAUGCAAAUUUAAACACACUGAAUACAAAUGGGAAAUAUACAAUAUAAAUGAAAACACAUUGAGUUUAAAUACUAAAUUACUGAAUAAUGCAACGGUUGACAAGCUUAGUGGCUUAUAGUUUUAAAAUAGAAUGAUUUUUUGCUAUUAAAACUGCGAUUUCCCCUCGAUGAAGGACAGUUUGUGCUCCUUGUAAUCGUUAUUGGAGGUUAUUUCCCCUCGAGGUGCCCCAAGCGUCCAAUACUGCACGGGUUUUCACAGAGCCAAGUCAGUAUUCCCGCCACCGUCAAGCGAGAAGGACCUAUCGUUUCGGUAAGAUACUUUGAUCGACAUUUUCUCUGUUAAACAUGUCUAUUAGCCAUUAAUUAACUGAAUUCACACAUUGUUAUCCUUCAUUUCAAUAAGUUGUUUUCUCAAAGCGCAUGAAUGCCGAGUUGUUGAAUAUGUGUGUUCCCGGCACUUGUCUUAAGUGUCUACAUAUUUUCCCUAUAUGACCCAUUCUAUUGACCAAGCUUAACUCGUAUCAAACGAAAAAAGCACGUAGGCCUGUUGACGCCUAGUACGAUAGACUUUAAUUAUUUGAAGAAAAAAAAACAAAAAUUUAUAUUUUCCCGCCAAAAAAAAAAAAUCUGCCGAAAGCGUGCAACUGUCGAAAUAGCAACUUGAAAAUAUGAUGAAUCGUCUUAAUUCACAGGCGUUUGAAGUUCUGACUGUCAAUUGAGAUAUAAUACCAUAUAAAAAAUAAGGGUAUUGGCCAACUUGGAGGCUCAAGCGUGACUGCACAAAAAAUAGCAGCAUUGAAUGUCAUGCGCAUGCGUAGAGAAACCUAUAGCUACAAAUGUAGUUACAUAUUAGAAUCACACUGUGGAAAACCACCAACUUUCGUAUAAUGCACAAACUUGACUGUCAAACCUCAAUUGUGGUAUAGUUUUGUUACUUAAAAAAAAGUGAAAAAGCCAAAAAUCACAAUGAAAAUCGAGCUUAUAAAUACUCGAAGCAGACUGUUAACAUGUUUUGUUAACAGCGAUAUAUAUCUGUAUACUGUAUUUGACCUAAUAAGGGCACCCCUACCUUUUUCAAGGAAAUAACUCUUUCGACUGAGUGUCAAAAUGGUGUUCAAAAAUAACAAUUCAUGUGAAAAAUUUUGCUACUUUGUGUUCAAUUUUCUUCAGCAAAUUAAGUAACAUUAAUACAAGUUUUCGCCACGUUUUGUGUAUUUCUACAGAUGACAUGUCGGUGCAAAGAGCAACCAAACACACAAAUAAUAACUUCCCAUCUUUAUUUGAAGUAAAAGUAUUCUUGUUGAUAAAUAACCUGUUCAGGACAGAAAGCUAGUAAAAAUACAUUGUAAAUCAAUUAUUGGGUCAAAGAAAACGUCUGAUAUGAUCUGGGAAAUCACCUGUGUCUAUAAAUAGAAAACAAAGAAUUCCAUUUGAACAUGAAUGGUGGAACACGUUCUCUGGUCUAAAGAUCAGCUGUCAUGGUUUACAAGUUUACAGGAAUAUUCAAGUCCAUGACGGGGCGGAAGUCUGUCAAUGGUACUGGAUGGACAUUAGGCCCUGCCGUCCUGAGGCCAAUGUCAAAGCCAACUGACCCCAGACCAUCAGGACUGUCCACAGGCAAAAGGACGAGAUCCUGGUCAGGAUAGGUGGUACUCCUAGCUCUG